AAUGAACGCUGGCGGCAUGCCUAACACAUGCAAGUCGAACGAAGGCUUCGGCCUUAGUGGCGCACGGGUGCGUAACGCGUGGGAAUCUGCCCUUGGGUUCGGAAUAACAGUUAGAAAUGACUGCUAAUACCGGAUGAUGUCGUAAGACCAAGAUUUAUCGCCCAAGGAUGAGCCCGCGUAGGAUUAGCUAGGUGGUGGGGUAAAGGCCUACCAAGGCGACGAUCCUUAGCUGGUCUGAGAGGAUGAUCAGCCACACUGGGACUGAGACACGGCCCAGACUCCUACGGGAGGCAGCAGUGGGGAAUAUUGGACAAUGGGCGAAAGCCUGAUCCAGCAAUGCCGCGUGAGUGAUGAAGGCCUUAGGGUUGUAAAGCUCUUUUACCCGGGGUGAUAAUGACAGUACCGGGAGAAUAAGCUCCGGCUAACUUCGUG
RNAcentral lists this ribosomal RNA (432 nucleotides) under uncultured bacterium. RNAcentral describes it as "partial 16S ribosomal RNA". It matches the Rfam family "Bacterial small subunit ribosomal RNA", at positions 29 to 507 of the family's 1533-position model. The record is from RNAcentral.